AUUGAACGCUGGCGGCAGGCCUAACACAUGCAAGUCGAACGGUAACAGGAAACAGCUUGCUGUUUCGCUGACGAGUGGCGGACGGGUGAGGAAUGUCUGGGAAACUGCCUGAUGGAGGGGGAUAAAUACUGGAAACGGUAGCUAAUACCGCAUAACGUCGCAAGACCAAAGAGGGGGACCUUCGGGCCUCUUGCCAUCGGAUGUGCCCAGAUGGGAUUAGCUAGUAGGUGGGGUAACGGCUCACCUAGGCGACGAUCCCUAGCUGGUCUGAGAGGAUGACCCGCCACUCUGGAACUGAGACACGGUCCAGACUCCUACGGGAGGCAGCAGUGGGGAAUAUUGCACAAUGGGCGCAAGCCUGAUGCAGCCAUGCCGCGUGUAUGAAGAAGGCCUUCGUGUUGUAAAGUACUUUCAGCGGGGAGGAAGGGAGUAAAGUUAAUACCUUUACUCAUUGACGUUACCCGCAGAAGAAGCACCGGCUAACUCCGUG
Molecule: ribosomal RNA, 490 nt
Filed under: uncultured bacterium
Lineage: Bacteria
Description: partial 16S ribosomal RNA
Rfam family: Bacterial small subunit ribosomal RNA
Source: RNAcentral